GGACCUACGGGGCGCAGCAGUGGGGAAUAUUGCACAAUGGGGGAAACCCUGAUGCAGCGACGCCGCGUGAGUGAAGAAGUAUCUCGGUACGUAAAGCUCUAUCAGCAGGGAAGAAAAAAAGUCUUUGGCUUUGGACGGUACCUGACCAAGAAGCCCCGGCUAACUACGUGCCUGCAGCCGCGGUAAUACGUAGGGGGCAAGCGUUAUCCGGAUUUACUGGGUGUAAAGGCAGCGUAGGCGGCUGUGUAAGCCAGAAGUGAAAGCCCGAGGCUCAACCACGGGACUGCUUUUGGAACUACAUGGCC
This 305-nucleotide ribosomal RNA is filed under the name uncultured bacterium. RNAcentral's name for it is "bacterial SSU rRNA". It matches the Rfam family "Bacterial small subunit ribosomal RNA", at positions 335 to 642 of the family's 1533-position model. The record is from RNAcentral.